This 71-nucleotide transfer RNA is filed under the name bacterium. RNAcentral describes it as "tRNA-Gly". It matches the Rfam family "tRNA". From Rfam's summary of the family: Transfer RNA (tRNA) molecules are approximately 80 nucleotides in length. The record is from RNAcentral.
GCGGGUAUCGUAUACUGGUAUUACCUCAGCUUUCCAAGCUGAUGAAGCGGGUUCGAUUCCCGCUACCCGCU